UGGGGAAUAUUGGACAAUGGGCGAAAGCCUGAUCCAGCCAUGCCGCGUGAGUGACGAAGGCCUUAGGGUUGUAAAACUCUUUCGUCGGGGACGAUAAUGACGGUACCCGAAGAAGAAGCUCCGGCUAACUUCGUGCCAGCAGCCGCGGUAAUACGAAGGGAGCUAGCGUUGUUCGGAAUCACUGGGCGUAAAGCGCACGUAGGCGGAUAGUUAAGUCAGGGGUGAAAUCCUGGGGCUCAACCCCAGAACUGCCUUUGAUACUGGCUGUCUCGAGGUCGAGAGAGGUUGGUGGAAUUCCUGGUGUAGCGGUGAAAUGCGUAGAUAUCAGGAGGAACACCGGUGGCGAAGGCGGCUCUCUGGACGGUGACUGACGCUGAGACGCGAAAGCGUGGGGAGCAAACAGGAUUAGAUACCCCAGUAGUCCCUGAGCGGGCUGGCAAGGCGCAU
Molecule: ribosomal RNA, 447 nt
Filed under: uncultured bacterium
Lineage: Bacteria
Description: bacterial SSU rRNA
Rfam family: Bacterial small subunit ribosomal RNA
Source: RNAcentral